CAAGGUUUCACUUUCACAGCAGCACUCUUCCACUUUAUAGGUGAGGAGAAAGAAAGAGACUUGUAGAAGGUUAUACUUUCACCUCCUCAACCUCCUUAAACAGAGGGAAGGGUCAGAUAAGAGAGAGUUUGUCCUGGGAUUGAGACUUAACUGAGUGCAAACUAUUUAUGCCCUUUGAACUCAGUUUGCAGCAAGGGAAGGAAGUUGAAGACAAAGGUGGAAAGUGGAAGGAAAAGAGAAAAACAGAAAUUUGGAAAAGCAGCUAGAAAAGUGCGGUGACAGAAAAUAAUAGGAACUAUCCCUGCCAAACUGCGACAGUUGGAGGACAGGCUGCUGCAAACCAACACUGAAAGUCCAUCUUUUUCCAGUCCUCCUCCAGAAACCAGUGCUGCAAAAAAAGGAAAGAAAAAAAAAAAAGAAAAGAAAAAAAGAAAAAAAAGAAAGAAAAAGAAAAGAAAGAAAAGAAAAGAAAAGAGGGGAAGCUGAGUUGGCUUGAGUUCAGCACCCAUUAAAAGACUUUGUAAAACGGAGCUUCCUUAUCAGAGGCUUUGUUGACUGAAGUAUGCCUGUAUGUGGGUCAGUAACUCCUGAAGGGUCAUCUUUCUUAAAGAACCUCAUCGUUAAACAUUUCUUUUCUUUCUCCAGUGCUUCAUGGCAGCAUGUCAUUCCAAAAUGAUAGCAUAGUCUUAAGAGGGCUCAAACAUUCCAUAUUUGUUCUGGCAAAUGAAACAAAGGACAUCCAUUUUUGAAUAAAACUGCCUGGUUUAAUUUCUUAUCUCAGAAGUCUUAGGAAGUUUUUCAUAUAGAGCAACUGUUCAUAUCCCAUCUAACUACAAUUUAUAAGAAAAAUUCUUCCCAAGACUUUGUUCCAGUCUUGCUCUUCCAACUAAUUAGAGACAAGAGCUCUCCUCCAUUUUUUUAAAAAAAACCUUUUAUACAGUAUCUUGUUAUCUUGUGGGAUUUGGUUCCAGGAACCCCAUGGAUACCAAAAUCCAUGGAUGCUCAAGUCUCAGUAUAUACAAUGGUCUAGUAAAACGGUACCCGUUAUAUAAAAUGGCAAAAUCAAGUUUUGCUUUUUGGAAUUUUUAAAAAUGUAUUUUCAAGCUGUGGAUGGUUGAAUGUAUGGAUAUGGCAAACCAACUGUAGGAUGAUUUUAGGGCAAUUUUCUUUUGCCUAAAAAAAUCAUGCUCAAAUGCAUGAAAACUUUUUUUGGGGAAAACCAUCCCACCUAGACAGCCCCCAAACCUCCUACAAGCCAUACUCAAAUGCAUGAAAAUAUUUGAAAAAAACAUCCACCUACACCACCCACAAACCUCCUACAAGGCCAAAAUACUCCAUUGUUCUUUUGGACUAGGAGUCCCAGAAUUCCCCAUUCAUCUAAAAGAUAACUUUCUCAAAUUCUGAUUUCGGUCUGGCCAAAGAACCAUGUAAAGGAAGGAUUUGGAAUUGUACAUGGACAGCAGACGAAGCAGACAUACAUACAUUAUCUAGUCAUUGUUUUCUGGGCUGAGCUGAGAUGUAUUUCUCUUUAAAUAUCAAUGAAUAUUUUUACAUUUUCAUAUGCAAGUAUUGUGCAAAUCUGCACUCUUUUUCCCCCCUCUCUUUCUUGGUGGUUCCUUCCUUCUUUCCUUACUUCUCUGGAUGUCUUCAAAAAGAGACUGGACAGCAACUUGCUGAAGAUAAUUUAGCUG
This is a long non-coding RNA of Sceloporus undulatus (fence lizard), 1691 nucleotides long. RefSeq lists it as uncharacterized. The transcript is spliced from 3 exons. NCBI's taxonomy places the organism in Eukaryota, Metazoa, Chordata, Lepidosauria, Squamata, Phrynosomatidae. The record is from RefSeq and is a predicted model, not a curated record.